This 75-nucleotide transfer RNA is filed under the name Micavibrio aeruginosavorus. RNAcentral describes it as "tRNA-Val". It matches the Rfam family "tRNA". From Rfam's summary of the family: Transfer RNA (tRNA) molecules are approximately 80 nucleotides in length. Their secondary structure includes four short double-helical elements and three loops (D, anti-codon, and T loops). Further hydrogen bonds mediate the characteristic L-shaped molecular structure. tRNAs have two regions of fundamental functional importance: the anti-codon, which is responsible for specific mRNA codon recognition, and the 3' end, to which the tRNAs corresponding amino acid is attached (by aminoacyl-tRNA synthetases). tRNAs cope with the degeneracy of the genetic code in two manners: having more than one tRNA (with a specific anti-codon) for a particular amino acid; and 'wobble' base-pairing, i.e. permitting non-standard base-pairing at the 3rd anti-codon position. Lineage: Bacteria; Pseudomonadati; Bdellovibrionota; Bdellovibrionia; Bdellovibrionales; Pseudobdellovibrionaceae. The record is from RNAcentral. RNAcentral also lists the same sequence under 4 other names.
GGGCGUUUAGCUCAGUGGUAGAGCGCUUCGUUUACACCGAAGAUGUCGGGAGUUCGACCCUCUCAACGCCCACCA